Molecule: microRNA, 23 nt
Filed under: Mus musculus (house mouse)
Lineage: Eukaryota; Metazoa; Chordata; Mammalia; Rodentia; Muridae
Description: mmu-miR-669a-3-3p
Gene: mmu-miR-669a-3-3p
Source: miRBase by way of RNAcentral
ACAUAACAUACACACACAUGUAU